This 503-nucleotide ribosomal RNA is filed under the name uncultured bacterium. RNAcentral describes it as "bacterial SSU rRNA". It matches the Rfam family "Bacterial small subunit ribosomal RNA", at positions 30 to 507 of the family's 1533-position model. The record is from RNAcentral.
AUUGAACGCUGGCGGCAUGCCUAACACAUGCAAGUCGAACGGUAACGGACCGCUGGGAUUCCUUCGGGAUGACCUUGGUGCCGACGAGUGGCGGACGGGUGAGUAACACUUAGGAAUCUGCCCAGUAGUGGGGGACAACAUUCGGAAACGGAUGCUAAUACCGCAUACGCCCUACGGGGGAAAGCGGGGGAUCUUCGGACCUCGCGCUAUUGGAUGAGCCUAAGUCGGAUUAGCUUGUUGGUGAGGUAAAGGCUCACCAAGGCGACGAUCCGUAGCUGGUCUGAGAGGACGAUCAGCCACACUGGGACUGAGACACGGCCCAGACUCCUACGGGAGGCAGCAGUGGGGAAUAUUGGACAAUGGGGGCAACCCUGAUCCAGCAAUGCCGCGUGUGUGAAGAAGGCCUGCGGGUUGUAAAGCACUUUCAGUAGAGAAGAAAAGCCUAGGGUUAAUACCCCUGAGUCUUGACGUAACCUACAGAAGAAGCACCGGCUAACUCCGUG